GGGCGAUUAGCUCAGUUGGUUCAGAGCAUCUGGUUUACACCCAGAGGGUCGGCGGUUCGAAUCCGUCAUCGCCCA
This 75-nucleotide transfer RNA is filed under the name Draconibacterium sp. RNAcentral's name for it is "tRNA-Val". It matches the Rfam family "tRNA". Rfam says of the family: Transfer RNA (tRNA) molecules are approximately 80 nucleotides in length. Their secondary structure includes four short double-helical elements and three loops (D, anti-codon, and T loops). RNAcentral also lists the same sequence under 5 other names. Lineage: Bacteria; Pseudomonadati; Bacteroidota; Bacteroidia; Marinilabiliales; Prolixibacteraceae. The record is from RNAcentral.